RNAcentral lists this ribosomal RNA (469 nucleotides) under uncultured bacterium. Its description in RNAcentral is "partial 16S ribosomal RNA". It matches the Rfam family "Bacterial small subunit ribosomal RNA", at positions 27 to 507 of the family's 1533-position model. The record is from RNAcentral.
GGACGAACGCUGGCGGCGUGCUUAACACAUGCAAGUCGAACGGAAAGGCCCUGCUUUUGUGGGGUGCUCGAGUGGCGAACGGGUGAGUAACACGUGAGUAACCUGCCCUUGACUUUGGGAUAACUUCAGGAAACUGGGGCUAAUACCGGAUAGGAGCUCCUGCUGCAUGGUGGGGGUGGGAAAGUUUCGGCGGUUGGGGAUGGACUCGCGGCUUAUCAGCUUGUUGGUGGGGUAGUGGCUUACCAAGGCUUUGACGGGUAGCCGGCCUGAGAGGGUGACCGGCCACAUUGGGACUGAGAUACGGCCCAGACUCCUACGGGAGGCAGCAGUGGGGAAUAUUGCACAAUGGGCGGAAGCCUGAUGCAGCAACGCCGCGUGCGGGAUGACGGCCUUCGGGUUGUAAACCGCUUUCGCCUGUGACGAAGCGUGAGUGACGGUAAUGGGUAAAGAAGCACCGGCUAACUACGUG